RNAcentral lists this ribosomal RNA (25 nucleotides) under Philodendron angustisectum. RNAcentral describes it as "partial 18S ribosomal RNA". Lineage: Eukaryota; Viridiplantae; Streptophyta; Magnoliopsida; Alismatales; Araceae. The record is from RNAcentral.
CUGCAAGUAGUCAUAUGCUUGUCUA